Molecule: small nucleolar RNA, 72 nt
Organism: Thamnophis elegans (Western terrestrial garter snake)
Lineage: Eukaryota; Metazoa; Chordata; Lepidosauria; Squamata; Natricidae
Product: small nucleolar RNA SNORD27
Exons: 1
Source: RefSeq, a predicted model, not a curated record
GUUCCGUGAUGAGCGUAAAAUAGACAAGCAUAUGUCUGAUUGUGGGUGAUGUUAAUUUAACCGUCUGAGAAC